This 475-nucleotide long non-coding RNA is filed under the name Citrus x clementina. RNAcentral's name for it is "Citrus clementina (C. clementina) long non-coding RNA (CCLE_LNC006628)". The record is from RNAcentral. Lineage: Eukaryota; Viridiplantae; Streptophyta; Magnoliopsida; Sapindales; Rutaceae.
AUUUUUAUUUUAUCUUCUAGCACUGACUAAUUCAUCCCCCAUAAGUUUUUCUCCUCAACCAAACCUUGUGCCAAAAACUAUAACUAUCAUUAGCGCUUCGGCCACCGCAAAAGAGUUCACAGAUCAUGACUCACGAGCUCUAAUACCGACAAAAUGAGAAUCUUAAUCAACAGACACGUAUCGUCACCUUAAAGAAAAUCGAGACAACAAAUUUGUGAUUCAUAGGAGACGCGUCGUCACUGUAAUUAAAGAUGAAGAAAAAUACAAAUUUUGACAAUGCAUUUCAGCCAAUCAAUAAAUAUAAAAGUAAGAAGUACGGAUCGAUCGUAUCCAUCCGCGUUCGUGUAGCUUCAGGGUCAUAACCGCGUUCGUCCUAUAGCCACGCGGCGUCGUAAGUAACUAAUUUUCCACGUGUCCACCCAUUCCUCUUUUCCUAUUUCUUCUAACCGUUUUAUUUUUAACUUUUAAAUUAAAU